This 460-nucleotide ribosomal RNA is filed under the name uncultured bacterium. RNAcentral describes it as "partial 16S ribosomal RNA". It matches the Rfam family "Bacterial small subunit ribosomal RNA", at positions 338 to 795 of the family's 1533-position model. The record is from RNAcentral.
CCUACGGGAGGCAGCAGUGAGGAAUAUUGGUCAAUGGACGAGAGUCUGAACCAGCCAAGUAGCGUGAAGGAUGACUGCCCUAUGGGUUGUAAACUUCUUUUAUAUGGGAAUAAAACGCUCCACGUGUGGGAUUUUGUAUGUACCAUAUGAAUAAGGAUCGGCUAACUCCGUGCCAGCAGCCGCGGUAAUACGGAGGAUCCGAGCGUUAUCCGGAUUUAUUGGGUUUAAAGGGAGCGUAGGUGGAUUGUUAAGUCAGUUGUGAAAGUUUGCGGCUCAACCGUAAAAUUGCAGUUGAAACUGGCAGUCUUGAGUGCAGUAGAGGUAGGCGGAAUUCGUGGUGUAGCGGUGAAAUGCUUAGAUAUCACGAAGAACUCCGAUUGCGAAGGCAGUUCACUGGACUGCAACUGACACUGAGGCUCGAAAGUGUGGGUAUCAAACAGGAUUAGAUACCCUUGUAGUC